GACGAACGCUGGCGGCGUGCUUAACACAUGCAAGUCGAGCGGUAAGGCCCUUUCGGGGUACGACGAGCGGCGAACGGGUGAGUAACACGUGGGUGACCUGCCCUCAGCUCUGGGAUAAGCCCGGGAAACUGGGUCUAAUACCGGAUAUGACUCCAUGACGCAUGUUGUGGGGUGGAAAGCCUUGUGCGGCUGAGGAUGGGCCCGCGGCCUAUCAGCUUGUUGGUGGGGUGAUGGCCUACCAAGGCGACGACGGGUAGCCGGCCUGAGAGGGCGACCGGCCACACUGGGACUGAGAUACGGCCCAGACUCCUACGGGAGGCAGCAGUGGGGAAUCUUGCGCAAUGGGCGAAAGCCUGACGCAGCGACGCCGCGUGAGGGAUGACGGCCU
This 388-nucleotide ribosomal RNA is filed under the name uncultured bacterium. Its description in RNAcentral is "bacterial SSU rRNA". It matches the Rfam family "Bacterial small subunit ribosomal RNA", at positions 28 to 417 of the family's 1533-position model. The record is from RNAcentral.